RNAcentral lists this ribosomal RNA (163 nucleotides) under uncultured bacterium. RNAcentral describes it as "partial 16S rRNA". It matches the Rfam family "Bacterial small subunit ribosomal RNA", at positions 355 to 511 of the family's 1533-position model. The record is from RNAcentral.
UAGGGAAUCUUCCACAAUGGACGAAAGUCUGAUGGGCAACGCCGCGUGAGCGAAGAAGGGUUUCGGCUCGUAAAACUCUGUUGUUAAAGAAGAACAUAUCUGAGAGUAACUGUUCAGGUAUUGACGGUAUUUAACCAGAAAGCCACGGCUAACUACGUACCAG